GUGGGGAAUAUUGGACAAUGGGCGAAAGCCUGAUCCAGCCAUGCCGCGUGUGUGAAGAAGGUCUUCGGAUUGUAAAGCACUGUAAGUUGGGAGGAAGGGCAGUAAGUUAAUACCUUGCUGUUUUGACGUUACCGACAGAAUAAGCACCGGCUAACUUCGUGCCAGCAGCCGCGGUAAUACGAAGGGUGCAAGCGUUAAUCGGAAUUACUGGGCGUAAAGCGCGCGUAGGUGGUUUUGUAAGUUGGAGGUGAAAUCCCCGGGCUACACCUGGGAACUGCCUCCAAAACUGCAUGACUAGAGUACGGUAGAGGGUAGUGGAAUUUCCUGUGUAGCGGUGAAAUGCGUAGAUAUAGGAAGGAACACCAGUGGCGCAGGCGACUACCUGGACUGAUACUGACACUGAGGUGCGAAAGCGUGGGGAGCAAACAGGAUUAGAAACCCCAGUAGUCC
RNAcentral lists this ribosomal RNA (450 nucleotides) under uncultured bacterium. RNAcentral's name for it is "partial 16S ribosomal RNA". It matches the Rfam family "Bacterial small subunit ribosomal RNA", at positions 354 to 796 of the family's 1533-position model. The record is from RNAcentral.